UACGUAGGGACCGAGCGUUGUCCGGAAUCAUUGGGCGUAAAGCGCGUGUAGGCGGUUCGGUAAGUCGGCUGUGAAAGUCCAGGGCUCAACCCUGGGAUGCCGGUCGAUACUGCCGGACUAGAGUUCGGAAGAGGCGAGUGGAAUUCCCGGUGUAGCGGUGAAAUGCGCAGAUAUCGGGAGGAACACCAAUGGCGAAGGCAGCUCGCUGGGACGUUACUGACGCUGAGACGCGAAAGCGUGGGGAGCAAACAGG
This 253-nucleotide ribosomal RNA is filed under the name uncultured bacterium. RNAcentral describes it as "partial 16S ribosomal RNA". It matches the Rfam family "Bacterial small subunit ribosomal RNA", at positions 524 to 776 of the family's 1533-position model. The record is from RNAcentral.